CUUGCUCUCCCAUAAGAGGUCCAGCCUGCCCAGUGACUUAGUUCAACGGCCGCGGUACCCUAACCGUGCGAAGGUAGCGUAAUCACUUGUCUUCUAAAUAGAGACUAGUAUGAAAGGCAUCACGAGAAUUUAACUGUCUCCUUUUUCCAAUCAGUGAAACUAAUCUUCCCGUGAAGAAGCGGGAAUCCAAAAAUAAGACGAGAAGACCCUAUGGAGCUUUAAACACUAACCACCUGCCCAAUCUUAUAAAACCCCGGUUCCUAAACCAACGCAUCAUGACUACGUGUUUUUGAUUGGGGCGACCACGGAAAAUAAUCAAACCUCCGUAAUGAAAACCUACAAGCCACAGCUUUAAGUAUCAACAAAUUGACAUCCAUUGACCCAAUAUAUUGACUAAUGAAC
RNAcentral lists this ribosomal RNA (402 nucleotides) under Pristimantis chiastonotus (Brownberg robber frog). RNAcentral describes it as "partial 16S ribosomal RNA". It matches the Rfam family "Bacterial large subunit ribosomal RNA", at positions 1834 to 2457 of the family's 2925-position model. The record is from RNAcentral. Lineage: Eukaryota; Metazoa; Chordata; Amphibia; Anura; Strabomantidae.